Non-coding RNA from Dipodomys ordii (Ord's kangaroo rat), 68 nucleotides. NCBI's taxonomy places the organism in Eukaryota, Metazoa, Chordata, Mammalia, Rodentia, Heteromyidae. The record is from Rfam.
UGCUGAGGGGCUGAGUGGUAGAGCGCUUGCCUUGCAUGCAUGAGGCCCUGGGUUCAAUUCCUCAGCAC